This 440-nucleotide ribosomal RNA is filed under the name uncultured bacterium. RNAcentral's name for it is "partial 16S ribosomal RNA". It matches the Rfam family "Bacterial small subunit ribosomal RNA", at positions 338 to 795 of the family's 1533-position model. The record is from RNAcentral.
CCUACGGGAGGCUGCAGUGGGGAAUAUUGCACAAUGGGGGAAACCCUGAUGCAGCGACGCCGCGUGAGUGAAGAAGUAUCUCGGUACGUAAAGCUCUAUCAGCAGGGAAGAAAAUGACGGUACCUGACUAAGAAGCCCCGGCUAACUACGUGCCAGCAGCCGCGGUAAUACGUAGGGGGCAAGCUUUAUCCGGAUUUACUGGGUGUAAAGGGAGCGUAGACGGCAGCACAAGUCUGGCUUGAAAUCCCGGGGCCUAACCCCGGAACUUCUUUGGAAACUGUGCGGCUGGAGUGCAGGAGGGGUAAGCGGAAUUCCUAGUGUAGCGGUGAAAUGCGUAGAUAUUAGGAGGAACACCAGUGGCGAAGGCGGCUUACUGGACUGUAACUGACGUUGAGGCUCGAAAGCGUGGGGAGCAAACAGGAUUAGAUACCCGAGUAGUC